Gadus macrocephalus (Pacific cod) is the source of this 290-nucleotide long non-coding RNA. RefSeq lists it as uncharacterized. The record is from RefSeq and is a predicted model, not a curated record. Lineage: Eukaryota; Metazoa; Chordata; Actinopteri; Gadiformes; Gadidae. The transcript is spliced from 2 exons.
CGGAGAUCGGCUACUUAAAUCGGCGUGUGCAGCUUCCUAGCCCCUCCUCUGACAAUGGCGUCACCAUUUGUGGGUGUUCCCGUGGACCCCGGGGCACUUCUCGUACAGGCAGGGUUUUAUGGGACAGAACCGAUCCCUUGGCAUUGUCUGACGAUAUUCAGAUUUCAGACUUUAUUGUCAUUGUGCAAACAACGAAAUUGGGGUUCUUCAUGAGAGAUACAGAUUCUCAUCAGAGGGUGUUCGUUAUUUGAUCGUCCUUUUGGACCUUAUGUAGACAAUGAUUACUGUUG